UUUAGUGGCAAACGGGCGAGUAACACAUAUUUAACUUGCUCAUCCGAGGAGAAUAGCAGCCCGAAAGGGCUAUUAAUACGCCAUAGUUUUAAAUUAGUGAAUUAAUUUAAAUUAAAGGAGGCUGCCGAAAGGUGGCCUCGCGGAUGAAUAGGAAUAUGUCCUAUUAGGUCGUUGGAGAGGUAAUGGCUCACCAAGCCGAUGAUGGGUAGCUGGACUGAGAGGUUGAACAGCCGCAAUGGGAUUGAGAAAUGGCCCAUAUUCCUACGGGAAGCAGCAGUGAGGAAUUUUUCACAAUGGACGAAAGUCUGAUGGAGCAAUACCACGUGAACGAUGAAGGUCUUCUGAUUGUAAAGUUCUUUUAUUUAGGAAAAAAAGCGCGGCAGGAAAUGGCCGCGCCUUGAUUGUACUAAUUGAAUAAGUGACAGCUAACUAUGUGCCAGCAGCUGCGGUAAAACAUAGGUCACGAGCAUUAUCCGGAUUUAUUGGGCGUAAAGGAAGCGUAGGCUGAAAUGUGUAUUCAUUGUUAAAAAUAUUUGCUUAACAAGUGUUCGCGGUGAAGAUUACAUUUCUAGAAUUAGUUAGAGGGUACUGGAAUUCAAUGUGUAGUGGUGGAAUACGUAGAUAUAUUGAGGAACACCAGAGGCUAAGGCGAGUGCCUGGAACAUAAUUGACGCUGAGGCUUGAAAGCGUGGGUAGCAAAUGGGAUUAGAUACCCCAGUAGUCCACGCCGUAAACGAUGGGUAUUAGUCAUUUGGAUUUAAGACUGAGUGAUGUAGCUAACGCGUUAAAUACCCCGCCUGGGUAGUAUAUAUGCAAAUAUGAAACUCAAAGAAAUUGACGGGGACCUGAACAAGUG
RNAcentral lists this ribosomal RNA (856 nucleotides) under uncultured Mycoplasma sp. Its description in RNAcentral is "bacterial SSU rRNA". It matches the Rfam family "Bacterial small subunit ribosomal RNA", at positions 91 to 931 of the family's 1533-position model. The record is from RNAcentral. Lineage: Bacteria; Bacillati; Mycoplasmatota; Mollicutes; Mycoplasmatales; Mycoplasmataceae.